RNAcentral lists this ribosomal RNA (498 nucleotides) under uncultured bacterium. RNAcentral describes it as "partial 16S ribosomal RNA". It matches the Rfam family "Bacterial small subunit ribosomal RNA", at positions 28 to 506 of the family's 1533-position model. The record is from RNAcentral.
GACGAACGCUGGCGGCGUGCCUAAUACAUGCAGGUCGAGCGAAGUUUUUCUGGUGCUUGCACUAGAAAAACUUAGCGGCGAACGGGUGAGUAACACGUAAAGAACCUGCCUCAUAGACUGGGACAACUAUUGGAAACGAUAGCUAAUACCGGAUAACAGUAUUUCUCGCAUGAGAGAUAUUUAAAAGUUGGUUAUGCUAACACUAUGAGAUGGCUUUGCGGUGCAUUAGCUAGUUGGUGGGGUAAAGGCCCACCAAGGCGACGAUGCAUAGCCGACCUGAGAGGGUGAUCGGCCACACUGGGACUGAGACACGGCCCAGACUCCUACGGGAGGCAGCAGUAGGGAAUCUUCCGCAAUGGGCGAAAGCCUGACGGAGCAACGCCGCGUGAGUGAAGAAGGAUUUCGGUUCGUAAAGCUCUGUUGUUAGGGAAGAAUGGAUAUGUAGUAACUAUACAUGUAAGAGACGGUACCUAACCAGAAAGCCACGGCUAACUACGU